This 253-nucleotide ribosomal RNA is filed under the name uncultured bacterium. RNAcentral's name for it is "partial 16S ribosomal RNA". It matches the Rfam family "Bacterial small subunit ribosomal RNA", at positions 524 to 776 of the family's 1533-position model. The record is from RNAcentral.
UACAGAGGUCUCAAGCGUUGUUCGGAUUCAUUGGGCGUAAAGGGUGCGUAGGUGGCGGGGUAAGUCAGGUGUGAAAUCUCGGAGCUCAACUCCGAAACUGCACUUGAUACUGCCUUGCUCGAGUACUGGAGAGGAGAUUGGAAUUUACGGUGUAGCAGUGAAAUGCGUAGAUAUCGUAAGGAAGACCAGUGGCGGAGGCGAAUCUCUGGACAGUUACUGACACUGAGGCACGAAGGCCAGGGGAGCAAACGGG